Molecule: ribosomal RNA, 490 nt
Filed under: uncultured bacterium
Lineage: Bacteria
Description: partial 16S ribosomal RNA
Rfam family: Bacterial small subunit ribosomal RNA
Source: RNAcentral
AUUGAACGCUGGCGGCAGGCCUAACACAUGCAAGUCGAACGGUAACACGAAGCAGCUUGCUGCUUUGCUGUCGAGUGGCGGGCGGGUGAGAAACGUCUGGGAAACUGCCCGAUGGCGGGGGUUAACUCCUGGAAACGGUACCUAUUACCGCAUAACGUCGCAACACCAAAGAGCGGGACCUUAGGGCCGCUUGCCCUCGGCUGUGACCAGAUUGCAUUAGCUAGUAGGUGGGGUAACGGCUUACCAAGUCGACGAUGCGUAGCUGAUCUGAGAGGGUGGUAGGCCACACUGGAACUGAGACACGGUCCAGACUCCUACGGGAGGCAGCAGUAGGGAAUCGUGCGCAAUGGGCGAAAGCCUGACGGAGCAACGCCGCGUGAGUGAUGAAGGGCUUCGGAUCGUAAAACUCUGUUAUUAGGGAAGAACAAAUGUGUAAGUAAAUAUGCACGUCUUGACGGUACCUAAUCAGAAAGCCACGGCUAACUACGUG